UGGGAACGUGCCUUUUGGUUCGGAACAACACAGGGAAACUUGUGCUAAUACCGGAUAAGCCCUUACGGGAAAGAUUUAUCGCCAUUGGAUGGGCCCGCGUCGGAUUAGCUAGUUGGUGAGGUAACGGCUCACCAAGGCAACGAUCCGUAGCUGGUCUGAGAGGAUGAUCAGCCACACUGGGACUGAGACACGGCCCAGACUCCUACGGGAGGCAG
This 215-nucleotide ribosomal RNA is filed under the name uncultured bacterium. RNAcentral's name for it is "partial 16S ribosomal RNA". It matches the Rfam family "Bacterial small subunit ribosomal RNA", at positions 118 to 351 of the family's 1533-position model. The record is from RNAcentral.